RNAcentral lists this ribosomal RNA (776 nucleotides) under uncultured Neocallimastigales. Its description in RNAcentral is "partial large subunit ribosomal RNA". It matches the Rfam family "Eukaryotic large subunit ribosomal RNA", at positions 22 to 646 of the family's 3401-position model. The record is from RNAcentral. Lineage: Eukaryota; Fungi; Neocallimastigomycota; Neocallimastigomycetes; Neocallimastigales.
CAUAGCGACUAUCGUGGCAUAUCAAUAAGCGGAGGAAAAGAAACUAACUAGGAUUCCCUCAGUAACGGCGAGUGAAGCGGGAAGAGCUCAAAUUUGAAAUCUUCAAGGUUCUACCUUGACGAAUUGUAGUUUAAAGAAGUGUUUUCUGUUGGAGUUUUGGUAAAAGUUCUUUGGAAUAGGACAUCAUAGAGGGUGAGAAUCCCGUAUUUGACCAUUAUUUCCAACUUUGUGAUACACUUUCAAAGAGUCGGAUUGUUUGGGAAUGCAGUCCAAAAUGGGUGGUAAAUUUCAUCUAAAGCUAAAUAUUGGCGAGAGACCGAUAGCGAACAAGUACCGUGAGGGAAAGAUGAAAAGAACUUUGAAAAGAGAGUUAAACAGUACGUGAAAUUGUCAAAAGGGAAGCGUUUGACACCAGUGUUGUUUUCUCGAAAAUCAAUUAAAAAUGGCUUGAUUUUGUGUUGUAUUGACUUUAUCAGCUUUCUGCACUUUUUUCAUUAUCUUUUUUAAUGCACUUUUCGUUUAACAAGUCAACAUCAAUUUCUUUUGUUGUAAAAGAGUCAUUGGAAGGUGGCUUUUUCUUCGGAAAAAGUGUUUAUAGCCUUGUGCCUCUGCAAUCGGAGAGAUUGAGGUCUGCAGCGUAGAUCCUUCGGGGUUAGAUACAUUUGUGCUAAGUUAUAGUCUUUCAUAGACAACUUGUUGACUAUAAUUAAUCUUGUAACUUACUCGCUUACUGCUAUUUUACCUACGCUUAGGAUGUUGACGAGACUGUCGAUCUC